GAGUCGUGUAAGGGAUGGCACACACAAUGAAGACGACAUCAAAACAUUGAAUACUAGAAAUAAUUGCUCUCCACCUCCAUCCACUUUACAUAUCUUUGCAACAUAUGUGCAAGUAGAUAACUAUAAUCUUCAGAAACUUGAUGAACUUUCUGGACAGAUUUUAUCCAUCAAUUCAAUUGACAUAGUUCCUGAAACAAUGAAAAAUAGGAAAUUUCCAGAAGAUCAAAGAUUCACUGGUGGAUUAACUUCAGUUCUACAACUUAAACUUGGAUGUCGCAUUAUGUUGACUAGAAAUCUAGAUGUUGCAGAUGGGUUAUCAAAUGGAGCUCAAGGUACACUAACUGGCAUCUUGAAAAAUGCUAAUAACAACCAAGUUAUUGCAAUAUUGGUAAGAGAAAAGGGCAUGAAACACUCAUUAAAAGCAAGUAUGAUCUGAACCCCUUCCCCAAAAAUUCAACACCAAUUGAACGAGCAGAAGCGAGCUUUUUCAUGUCAAAGACUAAAAAGAAUGUAUGCCUGACAUCAUUCUUGAUCCUGCCUUUUCAAAUGCAGAUAUCAUUUGCAUAUGUGAAUCAAAUAUCAGACAAAAUGAUUUACAUCAAAUUAAUGGAUUUCAUUGCCAUGAGCUCUUCAUGGACAACCAAACAAAGACUCAUGGACUCCUUCUAUAUGUAAGAUCAGCAUUAAAAGAUCAAUCAGUAAUGAAGCUUUUGAACUCCUUGAGGUCUCUGUGCAAAGAAAUACAGUAUCUUUCAACAUUGUCCUUCUUUAUCGAUCCCCAUCAUUUCUUACCUCGGCAUUUACACAAAAACUCAGUGACUUAUUUCCAACAUCAAACAAGUCAACAUCAUUUGUUCUAGGUGACUUUAAUGUGAAUCAAAAAAGUAUGCCAGCUGUUUAUAACAGACUUGUCCAACACUUUCAUACCAUACAGUAUGUCCAGUACAUCAAACAAGCUACCACAGUGUAUGGCUUGACACUAGAUCUGCUCUUUGCAAAUGCAACAAUGCCAGUAGAAGUUCACAUCUCUGGAACAUAUUAUUCUGACCAUACAGCAGUUGUCAUUCAGGCUAAAAUCUAAGAUAUAACUACAUGACUUGAAUGUAUGCUCUUUUAUUAAAUUUGAAACUUAUAAUGACAGCUUCUUUUGUUUUUGCUUUUUGAAAAACUGUUUAUGAUAUAUAUUAUGUCUGUCGCUCAGUGACAUUUACAUGUAUUUUCAUAAUGUCUGUCCUUAGUACAAGUAUUAAAUUUUAAGGUCUACCUUCCAUUGUUGUAGAUCUACACUACUGCACCAUUGUGGGAUUAUUUUUGACAGAGCAGAUACUGAUACUUCUGCAGAAAUUAUACAUUGAAAAACUCUCUCAAAAGUACAACAAAUAUAAUUCAGUUAUUAUGGACAAAAGCCCAGGUGGGAUUCAAACCUGGGAUUUGGUAUCCACAAGUCAAAUACUUAAACAAUCUAGCUUUAGUAAUAGUUGACCAUACAUCUUAACAAACAUUUUCACAAAACAAUUGAAUUGUCAGAUGCAAUGUUUUAAAAACUUUAAGCAUGAUGUAUAAAGCUACCAUAAAAAGGUUAAGAUUAAAUAGUUUAAGGGCCUUGAACUUAAAAUAAAAAGAUCUUUUGUACCAACAAGUUUAAAACUAAAUGUUAUUAUAACAUUUUAAUUUUGGCUGCAUGCGGGGGCAUUCGUGGCGUGACAACACAUUUCUACAUGUAGUCUUGUUUCUAUUUAUAGAAUUGCGUGUUUCUAUUUAUAGAAUUUUCAAUUUUUAGAAUUGCGUGUUUCUAUUUAUAAAUAUGUAUAAAUUAGUAUAUUUAAAGAUUUUGUUCAAACAUUUCUUUGUUUGCUUUUAGAGAAAGUCAAAAGUCGAGCGUUGCCCCCGUCCGGAGGUGGCUCUUGUUAACUCUCACAAUGGUGAUUAUUUGUGCCAAGUUAUUUUAAAUCUUACAUAAGUUCAAAAAAAGUUGGAGAACAUAUAAUCCUUGACUUUGGGUGUAGCAACCUGGAUGUUGCACUCUGCAGAUUUGUGUCAUGGUGGUGAUCAUUUGUGCCAAGUAAUUUUAAAACCUUUGAAUUGUCAAUAAGUUAUAGAGCUGACAUGACAUGAAUAGAUGUUUUUACAUUGGACCUUUGAGUGUGACCAUGACCUUCAGGGUUGUGAUUUGAUUAUUGUGCUUUGCCAAUGAUGUCAUAAUGGUGAUCAUUUCUGCCAAGUAAUAGUGUCUAACAACAAACUUGAUGAGGUUAAAACCCAUGAAGCUAUCAAUGAAUAUGACGAUAUUGUCGAAUGUGAUGAUGUAAAUGACGACAUAAAUAUAAGCAACAUAGCUGAUACCAAUGAAGUGUCUACCAACAAACUUGAUGAGGUUAAAACCCAUGAAGCUAUCAAUGAAUAUGACGAUAUUGUCGAAUGUGAUGCUAUAAAUGACGACAUAAAUAGUAGCAACAUAGCUGAUACCAAUGAAGUGUCUAACAACAAACUUGAUUAGGUUAAAACCCAUGAAGCUAUCAAUGAAUAUGACGAUAUUGUCGAAUGUGAUGAUGUAAAUGACGACAUAAAUAUAAGCAACAUAGCUGAUACCAAUGAAGUGUCUACCAACAAACUUGAUGAGGUUAAAACCAAUGAAGCUAUCAAUGAAUAUGACGAUUGUCAAUGUCACUCUGCGGAUCAUCACUAUUUUGGUAAGUGUCAGCAUUACCUUGAUUAACAGGAUCCAAAACCAGACUAAAAUAUCUGUCGAGUCGUGACUCAAUAGAUAUAUCUGGUGCCUCUAUAACUUCAUUUUCACUUUCAUUUCGGAUGGCUUCAGAAUUACACGUGUUUGACUGAUGUGACAAACCGAAACU
Ruditapes philippinarum (Manila clam) is the source of this 2855-nucleotide long non-coding RNA. RefSeq lists it as uncharacterized. NCBI's taxonomy places the organism in Eukaryota, Metazoa, Mollusca, Bivalvia, Venerida, Veneridae. The record is from RefSeq and is a predicted model, not a curated record. The transcript has 5 exons.